Long non-coding RNA from Lutra lutra (Eurasian river otter), 1197 nucleotides. RefSeq lists it as uncharacterized. Lineage: Eukaryota; Metazoa; Chordata; Mammalia; Carnivora; Mustelidae. The record is from RefSeq and is a predicted model, not a curated record. The transcript is spliced from 4 exons.
AAUAGGUGGGCCCCUACAUGGACGUCUGGGAAGAGGAAACCAACAGCUCUCCUGCUUCCAUACCCCCUGCAGUCUUGGCUGAGCAGCAAGCAUGACCCCCUCUGCUGUGGCUUCUGAAUUGAGACACCAAGAAUUUUUACUGCACAUAUGAUUUAUCCAUUGGUCAGUAUAUUCCUGCUGCUGGAAAGAUUUUAUAGUUGUGCUGUGACCAUAUGCAGCUGAGGCCAGAAGGAGGCUGACGUAUACAAGAGUGUCUUUAGAGGGGAAGAUUUACUCAUGGGGGCAGCCCCCAGGGGAGCAGAUAGAGACCAGCUGGGAGGGGCUGUCUGAUGGAAAGGUGUUUCUUAAAUCUGUCCUUUGCCUUGUGAACCACAGAAAGACUCACAUGGCCAUGACCACGUUUCCAGGAACAAUGAUGGGAAAGAUGACUUAAGUAAUGACUAGCUUCUCAAGCCUUCCACUUUGCACCAGCUCCUGAGAAACUAGCCCUCGAGCUGCGGUCAGCAGACAUAAUGACGUAGGAGGCUGAAGGUUCUCCACAUGAAAGCAACACCACAUUGUAUAUUUCUUUUGCUGGAAGUUUUCUUCUCUGACGGAAAGUUUAUCAACUUCUGAGGCCUCACCUGCCUGAAUAUCUGGAAUCCUCCCAAGUAAGUGGUUUGCCUUGGUCUUGUGGAUGCUGUGAAGUCAGAAAUGUGUGUUUCUCUCUUUGUGGAGAUGUUAGGACACUCACGCUAGUUAGAUCCCAGGGUACGUCCUGUAGCAUACAUUUCCCCCUACUAAUGCUAUUUCUAACUUCAUUUAGUUUUCCUGCCCCUAUCUUCUUAUGUUUGGGCUUGCUCACUUAUUUUAAUCUUACAGAAUUAUUUAUGCACAUUUUAAUAAAUCUUGAAUUCUGCUCACAACGACUUGGAGGUAGGUAUUCAUAAAUACAUUAAUAAAAUAGGAAGAAAAACUGCCGGCUGCAUAUACUUAUGUUUAAACAUUCCUGGAGGUUUCAAGAAUGUAUCUAGCUGGUUUUUAUGUGCUUCAGGUCCCCGAGUAAAAAAUUCAUAAACAGCUGGCCCCUCGUGUGGUUGAAAAUCCAUAAAUCCAUGGAUAAUCUUUUUUUUUUUUUUUAAGAUUUCAUGUAUUUAUUCAAGAGAGAGAGAGAAAGAGAGAGAACAGAAUGUGCAAGAGAGCACAAGCUGGGAGGAA